AGUCAUAAGAGCUUACCAAUGGAUGAAAGAGAAAUAAAUUACUUUGGGAACAGUAGAAUUCCUUAGCUAAGAGUUUAUAAAUUAGCCUCAAUGCUUUACAAGUAUGCUCAUGGUUUAUAACUAAAACGAUCGGAAGUAAUUGGGUUAGUGAGAACUAACAUCACAAGGGCCAGGGCUGACAGAGUUUAAAAAUGUAAAAGACUAUUUUGUGAAAUGGAGCUUAUCAGAAUCAUCAGUGGAGUUUUUUGUAUUUCUUUAAAAAAAAAUUUUUUUUUGAAAGGCUAUAGCAAAGACCUACUGUGGUAACACGGAUACACAGAAAAGUUUGAGAAUGACUGCUCUAAUAUAGUCACCCUAAUGUUUUAAGAAUUAUGUGUAUUUUAUAUUUUGCUGACCUUAAGGCUUUUCUAAAUGAUAAAGGUUCAGAUUUAUUUCUGUCAUCUCUAAACAUACAGUCAUAUCACCUCCAGGCAGUUUCACCAAUGCUACAUAACAAGUUUUCAGUUGAUCACACAUAGCAGUAAUAAAGAUUUGGGUAAAUGUGUUAAAAUUUUUUAAUACCAAGGUCAGAUCCCAAACAAAAAUUAACAAUCACUAGUGUAUCAGAAAGCCACAGAGCUUUCUUACAAACACAGACUCGUAAAGAAGAUUUAUGAUACUAGCAGAGCAAUAGUCUCAUUAUUUUGAAUAAGACAGUGAACAAAAAUCUGACCCAGAUAAAUAAUUUAGGCUUGGCUUUAACUAGCUUCUGAUGCGAUUCUCUGGAUACUAAAAUCAUUUAUGUGUAAGCAUGACAGAUGCGAAGCCCUCGAGCCCUUGAAAGCAACCGCUCAUCAGCCUUCAUUAGAGGCUGAGAAGACCACUAAAUGCUCUCUUAGACAUGAGAGUGGCAACAAGAAGCCCAGGAUGACUACAAACUCACCUGCAAACCCCAAGGAUGAAACAACACUCAGCAGUUCCAUGGAACCAUCAGUGCUACCAGGUGGGAGCCUCUGGGUCAAGUCCACGAUGGAGGACCCCUUCGGUUCUACUGGAAAAGGUGGCUCUUUACCAGCUUGUCCAAGAAGGUAUGAUGCUGCUCCCACGUGCUCAAGAGCCCUGAGCACCACAAAUGAUCACUUAUCUUCCCGAGCUUUGACCAAAACCCAAGGAGAAAAGACUGGCCUGCAGCAUCAGUUAGGUAGGAAGUGCCCAGACUCCGGACAGAGUACUACUUGGGUUCAGAUCCCAGCUCUGCUUCUUAACAGCUAUGUGAACCUGGACAAGAUACGCCACUUCCCUGUGCCUCGGUCAUGCCAUCUGUGAAAUGGGUUUCUCCUUCACAGGUUUAAGGAACAAAUGAGAAGUUACGUGUAAAACAUAUAGCACUAUGACUACACAGAGGAAACACUCAAUAAACAUUCAUUUUCGUUACUUUUCUCUCAACCCUUUCUUCACCUAGAAAAUCAGAAGUGAUUAUAUUUCUCCACUUCUUAGGAUUGUCAGGAGAAUUAAAUGAGGUAACGCAUGGGCUUUUCAAUGCCUAGCACAGUAGUCAAUAAAUGUUAGUGGAUUAUUUUAAACUUUAUACUUUUCACUUCAAUUUCCACUUGAAUCAAGAAUUUAGAAAUCAGAACACAACUGCUUUCCCUACUAAGAUUCACAGGUAACAGUUUUCUAGUUAGUCCUUUUUGUCUUUACAUUCCUUCUUCUUCUUCUUUUUUUUUUUUUUGGAGCAAACCCUGACACAGGAGUCAGAUUAUAAUGGUAUUGGCAUGACUCCACGAAGUGCUAGCCAAGUGAUCUCAAGAAAUAUCAGAAUCUUAGGUUUCUUAACUGUAAAACCAGAUAAAAAUGUCUCUCUUUUAAAGUAGAAAGGUCUCCAGAGGGUAAUGAAUGAAACAUGCUUUGUAAACAAUUAAACAAUGCAGCAAUGUAAGACCUCAUCAUUUUCCCAGGAUGAAUGAGGACUUACUAGAAUAAAUAUAGAGCAUAAUAUAGAUCUAUAAAGCAGUUUCUCCAUUGACUAGAGCAGAUUUAAGUUUUAAUCUGCUUUAAAUGGUUAAGAAUCUCUCGGGAGAAGCUGAAUAGAAGGACAGAAUUCCACCGCAACCAUCAGUUAAUCAGUGUGUGUGCUAUAGGAAAUGAGGCCAAAAGAAUAGGAAAUAGAUAUACUUUUUUCACAUGGAUUAAGAAGCUAAACUUUACUUCCAAGUGCCAGGUCACGUCUUUAGGCAUUUUGUGGAUAUGUUUGCUUCAAGUUA
This 2243-nucleotide long non-coding RNA is filed under the name Bos grunniens (domestic yak). RNAcentral's name for it is "lncRNA (ENSBGRG00000007771.1)". The record is from RNAcentral. Lineage: Eukaryota; Metazoa; Chordata; Mammalia; Artiodactyla; Bovidae.